RNAcentral lists this long non-coding RNA (222 nucleotides) under Malus domestica (apple). Its description in RNAcentral is "long non-coding RNA (MDOM_LNC012785)". The record is from RNAcentral. Lineage: Eukaryota; Viridiplantae; Streptophyta; Magnoliopsida; Rosales; Rosaceae.
GGUAUGGUAGGUUAAAACCCCGUUUGUAGAGUUGGUCAUUAAUGAUCAAGUAACGGUAGCCUUGUAUCGAAUUUGCUUAGCUUGGACUUUGUCAUUUGGAAGGGUGCCAUGAGCAAGGAAUCUAUAAAUCGGGGUAAUCCAACUAUCCCUCUGUUGUAAGUUGCACACUUCCGCAGCCAUGGUGCUUGGUGCUGCCAACAAUUCGACCUGAAUUUUUCUCCC